UACAUUUUAGUAUAGUAGGUAUAAAAGUUUUUGAUACUUUUGGAAGUAGAUAAUUUCUGCUAAAUGUAA
RNAcentral lists this transfer RNA (69 nucleotides) under Hylastes attenuatus. Its description in RNAcentral is "tRNA-Gln". The record is from RNAcentral. Lineage: Eukaryota; Metazoa; Arthropoda; Insecta; Coleoptera; Curculionidae.